GACGAACGCUGGCGGCGUGCUUAACACAUGCAAGUCGAACGGAAAGGCCCUGCUUUUGUGGGGUGCUCGAGUGGCGAACGGGUGAGUAACACGUGAGUAACCUGCCCUUGACUUUGGGAUAACUUCAGGAAACUGGGGCUAAUACCGGAUAGGAGCUCCUGCUGCAUGGUGGGGGUUGGAAAGUUUCGGCGGUUGGGGAUGGACUCGCGGCUUAUCAGCUUGUUGGUGGGGUAGGGGCUUACCAAGGCUUUGACGGGUAGCCGGCCUGAGAGGGUGACCGGCCACAUUGGGACUGAGAUACGGCCCAGACUCCUACGGGAGGCAGCAGUGGGGAAUAUUGCACAAUGGGCGGAAGCCUGAUGCAGCAACGCCGCGUGCGGGAUGACGGCCUUCGGGUUGUAAACCGCUUUCGCCUGUGACGAAGCGUGAGUGACGGUAACGGGUAAAGAAGCACCGGCUAACUACGUG
Molecule: ribosomal RNA, 468 nt
Filed under: uncultured bacterium
Lineage: Bacteria
Description: partial 16S ribosomal RNA
Rfam family: Bacterial small subunit ribosomal RNA
Source: RNAcentral